UUUUUACGGGUAGGAAAAAGGAAAAAGAUCGACAUUUCCAUGGUGGACAACGGGGAGCUGCCGGAACAUCUCCGUUGCCGGAGAAACGACGGUCGAGGAUGGAGGUGUUUGAUGCAAGUCAUGGAGAACAGGAGUGUCUGCGAUUUUCACUUCUACCAGGCUCGUUUGCGUCAGUCCAAGAAGAAGGUUCCACCUUCUAUGAAGCUCAAGAGGAAUACCCUCCGUGAGAAAGCCGCCGAAGCUUCUUCGUUGGCGGUGUCCGUAAGGAAAGAUUUUGAUUUUCAGAAUCUUGGAAUUCCGGUGAAAGGUCAGUCGAAUUUGGCGAAAGUGUUGAAGAGGAAGCGUGCAGUUCGGGUGGCGGACUCUCUGGUGAAGAUUUUGAAGAAGAUGAAGUCGAAAAAGGGUGACUUGCAGUUGGAAUUGAUAAGGAUGUUUCUGCGGAGGCAAAUGGAGAGGAAGAAGAAGCGAAGUUCCGAGGGGAGUAACAACGGGGAAGAAUUAAUGAGGGACUUGCCCAAUGGGCUGAUGGCCAUUUCCCCUACUCCUGUCAGGGAUUUUGGCAAUGCCGUCUCGUCUUUCGAUGGAAAACUAGGGCUUGAUUCGUAUGCUUCUUUUACCCGACGCUGCUUCCGGUCCAAAAAUAUUGAACCUCUUCCCGUUGGCCCAUUGCAGAUUCUUCCUUGCGGGAAAAGCAUAUCCAAUUCCAGGAGGGGUGGGAAGAAGAAUUGCCAUCAGUGCCGAACAAGUAAUGCUGAGAACCUUGUUCAUUGUUUGAGUUGCCGAAGAGAGUCUUUCUGCACAGAUUGCAUUCGUGAAAGGUAUUCUGAACUGCCACUCGAAGAAGUUAAGAUGGCUUGCCCAGUUUGUCGUUGCUCCUGCAACUGUGAGAUGUGCUUGAGUAAUCAGCCAAAAGGGAUUGCAUUGAAGGGUUUUGUUGAAGCUGAAGAUAAGGUUACCAAAAUCCUACAUUUCCAUUAUUUGGUUUGUCUGCUUCUUCCAGUUCUGAAACAAAUCAACCAGGAACAGAGGAUUGAGUUGGAAACAGAGGCAAAACUUGAAGGAAAAACACGAGCCGAAAUUAAGAUUCUGCAGGCAAAAUGUGGUAAUGACGAGCAGCUUUACUGUGAUAACUGCCAAUCUUCCAUUGUGGAUUUCCAUAGAAGCUGCUCAAUUUGUUCCUAUGACCUCUGCCUUAGUUGUUGUCGAGAGAUACGUCAAGGCACCUUACCUGGAAUGAGGCAGAGAAGCUCUGUUCAGAAAAACUCUGGUAGUGCAUUAUUAGCUUCUUCUGCAACACUUCCAGACUGGAAAUAUAGUGGUGAUGGCAGUAUUUCUUGCCCACCCAAGGAGCUUGGUGGUUGUGGUGAAAGUCUCCUGGACUUGAGAAGUGUUUUCCCAUUAAAUUGGACUGAAGAACUGGAAAUAAAUGCUGAAGAAAUAGCAUGCAGUUAUGACUUUCCAGAAACUAUAGAUGUUUCACCACACUGUUCCUUAUGUAGUCUCAUGCAUGAUAAAGCUGGGGGACUUGAUGGGAAAUUGCAAGAAGCAGCUGCCAGAGUAGAUUCUGAUGAUAACUUCUUGUACUGUUCAACUAUGGAGGAUCUUCAGCAUGAAAACCUGGAACAUUUCCAAAAGCAUUUAAGUAAAGGUCAGCCUGUAAUAGUUCGUAAUGUGCUCCAGAAUUCGUCAAACUUGAGCUGGGAUCCUGUGGUCAUGUUCCACACUUUUCUUGAAAGGAACAGUGCUAAGCCUGGGAAUGAUGUCAAGACUGUGAAAGCCACUGAUUGCUUGGAUUGGUGUGAGGUAGAAAUUGGGAUCCAGCAAUUUUUUAACGGUUAUAUAGAGGGCCGAACACAUGCCAAUCUGUGGCCUGAGAUGCUGAAAUUGAAGGAUUGGCCUUCUCCUGAUUUGUUUCAGGAACAGCUUCCUGCGCAUAAUGCUGAAUUCAUCUGUGCUUUACCGUUUCAAGAAUAUACAAAUCCUAACUCUGGUAUUCUGAAUCUUGCUGUCAAGUUGCCCAAGGAAUUCUCAAAGCCUGACCUGGGUCCCCGUGUAUAUAUUUCAUACGGGAUAGCCGAGGAGCUUGGGCGGGGUGAUUCUGUAACUAAACUUUAUUUUAAUUCAUCUGAUAUGGUGAAUGUUCUGGUGCACACAACAGAAGUAACAAUUCCUCCAUUACAGGUAACUGAGAUACAGAAAUUAAAGAAAAAGCACAAGGCUCAAGAUAAGAAUAAGUCUCUCAGGAGUUCUAUGGACCUGAAUAUAGUAAAUGUUGUGAAAUGGAGGCCAUCUUUGUCUUGUGAAAGCACAGAAGAAGCAGGAUGUAGUGAGAUGCUGGACGUUAAUGGAGAUACAUAUUUACCCAAUGGAGAAGCUGGAGUCUCAUAUUUACAUUCUGUCACAAGUACACCUGAAGAAUGUGAUUGUAGUGUCAAAGAUGAGAAGACAUCGGAUGCCGAAGAGUCCAACUCUGAUUCUGAUGCCCCAACUGAUUGUUAUAGAAAUACUCUGAUCUCUGAAAAAUCUGAAGAUGAAGAGAUUUCUUGUCUGGAAGAAAAGAGAGAACAUAUAUCGAAACUAGUGUCUGAUUCCUGCGGUGCCCAAUGGGAUGUCUUCCGUAGGGAAGAUGUUCCAAAGCUACAAGAAUACCUAAGAAGGCACUUCAGUGAGUUCAGGCACACAUAUUGCUUUCCAGUUGAACAGGUUGCUCAUCCAAUUCUUGAUCAGAGCUUCUUUCUUGAUACAACCCAUAAAAGAAGGCUUAAGGAGGAGUUCGAAGUCGAACCUUGGACUUUUGAUCAGCAUCUUGGAGAAGCCAUCUUCAUUCCUGCGGGAUGCCCAUAUCAAAUUAGGAAUAUUAAGUCUUGCAUAAAUGUGGCUUUGGACUUUGUGUCACCUGAGAAUGUCCAAGAGUGUAUUCAGUUGAUUGAUGAACUCCGUGUACUUCCAAAGAAUCACAAAGCUAAAGAAGACAAGCUAGAGGUGAAGAAAAUGAGUGUCUAUGGUAUUAGUGCUGCAGUUAAAGAAAUCCGUGAGCUGACAUCAAGUGCACUGUAAGUAGCUCUCAAGCUUGGAGCUCCAAGUGAUAUAUAGUGCGAAACCAUAGGUGGAUUUCCUCUUCUACAAUCCUCUUUCUCGUCUUCUUUCUGUGAAUUGCCAUUAUGUUCUUACUCCCAUUGCAUGAAAGGUUCCAAACACAAAGGUGGAAAAGUUAUGGAGGAAAGAUGUUCACAGAAAAACUUGCACCUGCAUCUAUUCCCCU
Molecule: RNA transcript, 3262 nt
Organism: Telopea speciosissima
Lineage: Eukaryota; Viridiplantae; Streptophyta; Magnoliopsida; Proteales; Proteaceae
Gene name: lysine-specific demethylase JMJ25-like
Exons: 14
Source: RefSeq, a predicted model, not a curated record